This 650-nucleotide ribosomal RNA is filed under the name uncultured Serratia sp. Its description in RNAcentral is "bacterial SSU rRNA". It matches the Rfam family "Bacterial small subunit ribosomal RNA", at positions 1 to 667 of the family's 1533-position model. The record is from RNAcentral. Lineage: Bacteria; Pseudomonadati; Pseudomonadota; Gammaproteobacteria; Enterobacterales; Yersiniaceae.
CGCCCUUAGAGUUUGAUCAUGGCUCAGAUUGAACGCUGGCGGCAGGCUUAACACAUGCAAGUCGAGCGGUAGGAGAGCUUGCUCUCUACGAGCGGCGGACGGGUGAGUAAUGUCUGGGAAACUGCCUGAUGGAGGGGGAUAACUACUGGAAACGGUAGCUAAUACCGCAUAAUGUCGCAAGACCAAAGAGGUUCGUCUUGCCAUCAGAUGUGCCCAGAUGGGAUUAGCUAGUAGGUGGGGUAAUGGCUCACCUAGGCGACGAUCCCUAGCUGGUCUGAGAGGAUGACCAGCCACACUGGAACUGAGACACGGUCCAGACUCCUACGGGAGGCAGCAGUGGGGAAUAUUGCACAAUGGGCGCAAGCCUGAUGCAGCCAUGCCGCGUGUAUGAAGAAGGCCUUCGGGUUGUAAAGUACUUUCAGCGAGGAGGAAGGCAUUAAGUAAUCUUAGUGAUUGACGUUACUCGCAGAAGAAGCACCGGCUAACUCCGUGCCAGCAGCCGCGGUAAUACGGAGGGUGCAAGCGUUAAUCGGAAUUACUGGGCGUAAAGCGCACGCAGGCGGUUUGUUAAGUCGGAUGUGAAAUCCCUGGGCUCAACCUAGAACUGCAUUCGAAACUGGCAAGCUGAGUCUUGUAGAGGGGGGUAGAAU